RNAcentral lists this ribosomal RNA (501 nucleotides) under Blastococcus aggregatus. RNAcentral describes it as "bacterial SSU rRNA". It matches the Rfam family "Bacterial small subunit ribosomal RNA", at positions 380 to 891 of the family's 1533-position model. The record is from RNAcentral. Lineage: Bacteria; Bacillati; Actinomycetota; Actinomycetes; Geodermatophilales; Geodermatophilaceae.
AGCCUGACGCAGCGACGCCGCGUGGGGGAUGACGGCCUUCGGGUUGUAAACCUCUUUCAGCAGGGACGAAGCGAAAGUGACGGUACCUGCAGAAGAAGCACCGGCCAACUACGUGCCAGCAGCCGCGGUAAUACGUAGGGUGCAAGCGUUGUCCGGAAUUAUUGGGCGUAAAGAGCUCGUAGGCGGUUUGUUGCGUCGGCUGUGAAAACCUGAGGCUCAACCUCAGGCCUGCAGUCGAUACGAGCAGACUAGAGUGUUGCAGGGGAGACUGGAAUUCCUGGUGUAGCGGUGAAAUGCGCAGAUAUCAGGAGGAACACCGGUGGCGAAGGCGGGUCUCUGGGCAACAACUGACGCUGAGGAGCGAAAGCGUGGGGAGCGAACAGGAUUAGAUACCCUGGUAGUCCACGCCGUAAACGUUGGGCGCUAGGUGUGGGGCUCAUUCCACGAGUUCCGUGCCGCAGCUAACGCAUUAAGCGCCCCGCCUGGGGAGUACGGCCGCAA